RNAcentral lists this small RNA (820 nucleotides) under Pan troglodytes (chimpanzee). Its description in RNAcentral is "processed transcript". Lineage: Eukaryota; Metazoa; Chordata; Mammalia; Primates; Hominidae. The record is from RNAcentral.
CCAGGAGGCGGAGGCGCGCGGGCCAGCCUGGGCCCCAGCCCACACCUUCACCAGGAUGUAUGCAUGGAGGUCGUAUCUAUCCAGUCUUGGGAACCUACUGGGACAACUGUAACCGUUGCACCUGCCAGGAGAACAGGCAGUGGCAGUGUGACCAAGAACCAUGCCUGGUGGAUCCAGACAUGAUCAAAGCCAUCAACCAGGGCAACUAUGGGUGAGAGGCCCUAGAGGCACCCUCAGUGGGCACACAUGCAUACUCAUGCAUGUAUACACGCAUGCUGUGCUGUGGGGCACGUCCAGCAGGCCACUCCUACACCCAGAUUUGACUGUGUGUGCGCUCAGCCACUGUGCGUCUCUCCCACCCACAUGCACCCACGCCAAGGACCCUGAGCCUCGGCAGAUCUGUGACUUCCUUCCGUCCUCUCUCCUUCAGCUGGCAGGCUGGGAACCACAGCGCCUUCUGGGGCAUGACCCUGGAUGAGGGCAUUCGCUACCGCCUGGGCACCAUCCGCCCAUCUUCCUCGGUCAUGAACAUGCAUGAAAUUUAUACAGUGCUGAACCCAGGGGAGGUGCUUCCCACAGCCUUCGAGGCCUCUGAGAAGUGGCCCAACCUGAUUCAUGAGCCUCUUGACCAAGGCAACUGUGCAGGCUCCUGGGCCUUCUCCACAGCAGCUGUGGCAUCCGAUCGUGUCUCAAUCCAUUCUCUGGGACACAUGACGCCUGUCCUGUCGCCCCAGAACCUGCUGUCUUGUGACACCCACCAGCAGCAGGGCUGCCGCGGUGGGCGUCUCGAUGGUGCCUGGUGGUUCCUGCGUCGCCGAGG